This 496-nucleotide small RNA is filed under the name Drosophila yakuba. Its description in RNAcentral is "GE29179". Lineage: Eukaryota; Metazoa; Arthropoda; Insecta; Diptera; Drosophilidae. The record is from RNAcentral.
GUCUUCUCGUUAUCUGGUCACACCAUUCGCCGUUGAUCGAUUGUUACCGAUAGAUCCCGAUAACUCCCGUUGGGGCGGCGUUGCCACUUGGUGACCCUGGUAUUUCCGUACUGUGACCCGUCAUGUGCUGCUUUUUCCGAUGUUUUUGCCCAUCGAUUGACACUAUCGAGUGCCGAUCGACCGCCUUGUGAUCAAGGCGCCCCCUUCCCUAAGCACAUGGUGACUCCGCAAAUGUUGACAACAGAAGGAAUUUUAGGACUCUCUUCGGACCUCCCCCUUCGAUGGACCUAGAUGUCGCGGAUGGCUGCUUUCUCUUCGGGAUUUCACCUUCGGCAUACACAUGGCAUCGACAUGGACCCCUUUUCCUGGAGGCGGACCAGCACUUGCGGAAGCACACACACAUUUCGCCCUCAUGAAAUUCUUUUGAUAUGAUGUGAAUCUAAAUCUACAUAUACCUGAAUAUCCUAUGUUUUGUGCGCGUUCGUGUGAUCCGUCC